GCCAUAUUACAUUAAAACAUUUGUUCCCGCAUGAUCACCAAAAUUACGCAACAUCAAGCCAGGUCAGUACUUAGAUGGGUGACCACUUGGGAAUACCAGGUGCUGUAAG
This is a non-coding RNA of Acanthosepion pharaonis, 109 nucleotides long. Lineage: Eukaryota; Metazoa; Mollusca; Cephalopoda; Sepiida; Sepiidae. The record is from the annotation of a GenBank genome assembly.